This 1322-nucleotide ribosomal RNA is filed under the name uncultured bacterium. RNAcentral describes it as "bacterial SSU rRNA". It matches the Rfam family "Bacterial small subunit ribosomal RNA", at positions 28 to 1398 of the family's 1533-position model. The record is from RNAcentral.
GAUGAACGCUGGCGGCGUGCUUAACACAUGCAAGUCGAACGAACCUUCGGGUUAGUGGCGGACGGGUGAGUAACGCGUGGGAAUCUGCCCUCAGGAGGGGGAUAACGGUUGGAAACGACCGCUAAUACCCCAUAUGCCGAGAGGUGAAAUGAAUUUCGCCUGAGGAUGAGCCCGCGUCUGAUUAGCUUGUUGGUGAGGUAAUGGCUCACCAAGGCUUCGAUCAGUAGCUGGUCUGAGAGGAUGAUCAGCCACACUGGGACUGAGACACGGCCCAGACUCCUACGGGAGGCAGCAGUGGGGAAUUUUCCGCAAUGGGCGAAAGCCUGACGGAGCAACGCCGCGUGAGGGACGAAGGCCUCUGGGCUGUAAACCUCUUUUCUCAAGGAAGAAGAUAUGACGGUACUUGAGGAAUAAGCCACGGCUAAUUCCGUGCCAGCAGCCGCGGUAAUACGGGAGUGGCAAGCGUUAUCCGGAAUUAUUGGGCGUAAAGCGUCCGCAGGCGGCCUUUCAAGUCUGCUGUUAAAGCGUGGAGCUUAACUCCAUCAUGGCAGUGGAAACUGAUAGGCUUGAGUAUGGUAGGGGCAGAGGGAAUUCCCGGUGUAGCGGUGAAAUGCGUAGAUAUCGGGAAGAACACCAGUGGCGAAGGCGCUCUGCUGGGCCAUAACUGACGCUCAUGGACGAAAGCCAGGGGAGCGAAAGGGAUUAGAUACCCCUGUAGUCCUGGCCGUAAACGAUGAACACUAGGUGUCGGGGGAAUCGACCCCUUCGGUGUCGUAGCUAACGCGUUAAGUGUUCCGCCUGGGGAGUACGCACGCAAGUGUGAAACUCAAAGGAAUUGACGGGGGCCCGCACAAGCGGUGGAGUAUGUGGUUUAAUUCGAUGCAACGCGAAGAACCUUACCAGGGUUUGACAUCCUGCGAACCUUUAAGAAAUUAGAGGGUGCCUUCGGGAACGCAGUGACAGGUGGUGCAUGGCUGUCAUCAGCUCGUGUCGUGAGAUGUUGGGUUAAGCCCCGCAACGAGCGCAACCCACGUUUUUAGUUGCCAGCAUUUAGUUGGGCACUCUAGAAAGACCGCCGGUGAUAAACCGGAGGAAGGUGUGGAUGACGUCAAGUCAUCAUGCCCCUUACAUCCUGGGCUACACACGUACUACAAUGCUACGGACAAAGGGCAGCAAACUCGCGAGAGCUAGCAAAUCCCAUAAACCGUGGCUCGGUUCAGAUCGUAGGCUGCAACUCGCCUACGUGAAGUAGGAAUCGCUAGUAAUCGCAGGUCAGCAUACUGCGGUGAAUACGUUCCCGGGCCUUGUACACACCGCCCGUC